AGCAGCCGCGGUAAUUCCAGCUCCAAUAGCGUAUAUUAAAGUUGUUGCAGUUAAAAAGCUCGUAGUUGAAUUUCGGGACCAGUAUAUUGGUCGUGCUUCGGUACGUACUGCCAUUACCGGUUCCUACCUUCUGAAGAACCGCGAUGUCAUUAAUUUGGUGUCGUGGGGAAUCAGGACUGUUACUUUGAAAAAAUUAGAGUGUUUAAAGCAGGCUCGCGCUUGAAUACAUUAGCAUGGAAUAAUGAAAUAGGACGUUUGAUUCUAUUUUGUUGGUUUCUAGGAUCGACGUAAUGAUUAAUAGGGAUAGUUGGGGGCAUUAGUAUUCAAUUGUCAGAGGUGAAAUUCUUGGAUUUAUUGAAGACUAACUACUGCGAAAGCAUUUGCCAAGGAUGUUUUCAUUAAUCAAGAACGAAAGUUAGGGGAUCGAAGACGAUCAGAUACCGUCGUAGUCUUAACCAUAAACUAUGCCGACUAGGGAUCGGAUGAUGUUAAUUUUUAAUGACUCAUUCGGCGCCUUACG
Molecule: ribosomal RNA, 520 nt
Filed under: uncultured Glomus
Lineage: Eukaryota; Fungi; Glomeromycota; Glomeromycetes; Glomerales; Glomeraceae
Description: SSU rRNA
Rfam family: Eukaryotic small subunit ribosomal RNA
Source: RNAcentral